This 486-nucleotide ribosomal RNA is filed under the name uncultured bacterium. Its description in RNAcentral is "partial 16S ribosomal RNA". It matches the Rfam family "Bacterial small subunit ribosomal RNA", at positions 30 to 507 of the family's 1533-position model. The record is from RNAcentral.
AUUGAACGCUGGCGGCAUGCCUUACACAUGCAAGUCGAACGGCAGCACGGGUGCUUGCACCUGGUGGCGAGUGGCGAACGGGUGAGUAAUACAUCGGAACAUGUCCUGUAGUGGGGGAUAGCCCGGCGAAAGCCGGAUUAAUACCGCAUACGAUCUACGGAUGAAAGCGGGGGCCCUUCGGGCCUCGCGCUAUAGGGUUGGCCGAUGGCUGAUUCGCUAGUUGGUGGGGUAAAGGCCUACCAAGGCGACGAUCAGUAGCUGGUCUGAGAGGACGACCAGCCACACUGGGACUGAGACACGGCCCAGACUCCUACGGGAGGCAGCAGUGGGGAAUUUUGGACAAAGGGCGAAAGCCUGAUCCAGCAAUGCCGCGUGUGUGAAGAAGGCCUUCGGGUUGUAAAGCACUUUUGUCCGGAAAGAAAUCCUUGGCCCUAAUACGGUCGGGGGAUGACGGUACCGGAAGAAUAAGCACCGGCUAACUACGUG